GACAACACGAGCCCAAACCCGAAUUCAUCUCCGGGUAAUGUAAUGCGACAUUUCGAUUCUCAAAUAGCAAGGCUUGAGACUUUUGAGUCAAACUAGGGUUUUGCUUGCAGAAGAGUAACUCGUCGGAGAAACAGCAUCAGCAGCCAUGGCUAGCACCAAAGUACAGAGGAUUAUGACCCAGCCCAUUAAUCUGAUCUUCAGAUUUCUUCAGAGUAAAGCUCGCAUUCAGAGAUGGCUAUUUGAGCAGAAGGAUCAGAGGAUUGAAGGACGUAUUAUUGGUUUUGAUGAGUACAUGAAU
RNAcentral lists this unclassified non-coding RNA (298 nucleotides) under Hevea brasiliensis (rubber tree). The record is from RNAcentral. Lineage: Eukaryota; Viridiplantae; Streptophyta; Magnoliopsida; Malpighiales; Euphorbiaceae.